Molecule: ribosomal RNA, 468 nt
Filed under: uncultured bacterium
Lineage: Bacteria
Description: partial 16S ribosomal RNA
Rfam family: Bacterial small subunit ribosomal RNA
Source: RNAcentral
GACGAACGCUGGCGGCGUGCUUAACACAUGCAAGUCGAACGGAAAGGCCCUGCUUUUGUGGGGUGCUCGAGUGGCGAACGGGUGAGUAACACGUGAGUAACCUGCCCUUCAUUUUGGUAUAAGUUCAGGAAGCUGGGCUUAAUCCCGUACAGGAGACCCUCUUCCAUGGUGGGCGUGGGAACUUCUCGGCGGUUGGGGUUGGACUCGCGGCUUACCGGCUUGUUGGUGGGGUAGUGGCAUACCAAGGCUUUGACGGGUAGCCGGCCUGAGAGGGUGACCGGCCACAUUGGGACUGAGAUACGGCCCAGACUCGUACGGGAGGCAGCAGUGGGGAAUAUUGCACAAUGGGCGGACGCCUGAGGCAGCAACGCCGCGUGCGGGAUGACGGCCUUCGGGUUGUAAACCGCUUUCGCCUGUGACGAAGCGUGAGUGACGGUAAUGGGUAAAGAAGCACCGGCUAACUACGUG